UUGACCUCNAAUCGGGUGAGACUACCCCGCUGAACUUAAGCNUAUCANUAAGCGGAGGAAAAGAAACUAACAAGGAUU
This 78-nucleotide ribosomal RNA is filed under the name uncultured Lactarius. RNAcentral's name for it is "partial 28S ribosomal RNA". It matches the Rfam family "Eukaryotic large subunit ribosomal RNA", at positions 1 to 76 of the family's 3401-position model. The record is from RNAcentral. Lineage: Eukaryota; Fungi; Basidiomycota; Agaricomycetes; Russulales; Russulaceae.